Molecule: ribosomal RNA, 446 nt
Filed under: Menneus capensis
Lineage: Eukaryota; Metazoa; Arthropoda; Arachnida; Araneae; Deinopidae
Description: partial 16S ribosomal RNA
Rfam family: Bacterial large subunit ribosomal RNA
Source: RNAcentral
UUCUUAUAGAAAUUAUUAUAAGUAAAAUCUGCUCAAUGAUAUAAAUAGCCGCAGAUUCCUUCUGUGCUAAGGUAGCAUAAUCAUUUGUCUUUUAAUUAAAGACUAGUAUGAAAGAUUAAACAUUUUAAUUAUUCUAUUAACUUUAUUUUUCGAAUUUAUUUUAAAUGUAAAAAAACAUUUAUACAUUAUAAAGACGACAAGACCCUAUCGAACUUUACUUUAGUUUAACUGGGGCAGUUAAUUAAAUUAAAUCUUAAUUAUAAUAACAAUAAACCAUGACCCAAUAAAAUUGAUUACUUGAUCAAGUUACCGUAGGGAUAACAGCGUAAUAUUCUUUUAAAGCUCUUAUUAAAAAGGAAGUUUGCGACCUCGAUGUUGAAUGGUAACCCUAUUAAUUUGAUGCAACAAUCUAAAAAGGAGGUCUGUUCGACCUUUAAUUUACCACA